Long non-coding RNA from Zophobas morio, 133 nucleotides. RefSeq lists it as uncharacterized. The transcript has 3 exons. NCBI's taxonomy places the organism in Eukaryota, Metazoa, Arthropoda, Insecta, Coleoptera, Tenebrionidae. The record is from RefSeq and is a predicted model, not a curated record.
AAGUCUUCCAUUUAACUGGCGAAGUGCUAUCCCGAUUCGAUAAAAUCAGUUAAUUCCCAACUACCGCCGGAUAUCAAUUUUCUUUUUAACAAGCUCUCAAAAACAGAUUCCUGGAUGUUAACCAUUGACAAUU